GAUGAACGCUAGCGGCAGGCCUAAUACAUGCAAGGCGAAGGGGCAGCAAUGUCACUGUCGUACGGGUGCGUAACACGUAUGCAACCUACCUAUCACAGGGGGAUAGCCUCUGGAAACAGGGAUUAAUACCGCAUAAAGCAGGGACACCGCAUGGUGAUAUUGCUAAAGACUUAUCGGUGAUAGAUGGGCAUGCGUCUGAUUAGUUAGUUGGUGAGGUAACGGCUCACCAAGACGAUGAUCAGUAGGGGGCGUCAGAGCGUGGUCCCCCACACUGGCACUGAGAUACGGGCCAGACUCCUACGGGAGGCAGCAGUAGGGAAUAUUGGGCAAUGGAUGCAAGUCUGACCCAGCCAUGCCGCGUGCAGGAAGAAGGUCCUCUGGAUUGUAAACUGCUUUUUUGGGGGAAGAAUAGUUUUCUUGCGAGGAAAUGUGACGGUACCCUAAGAAUAAGCCACGGCUAACUACGUGCCAGCAGCCGCGGUAAUACGUAGGUGGCAAGCGUUGUCCGGAUUUAUUGGGUUUAAAGGGUGCGUAGGUGGUUUGAUAAGUCAGUGGUGAAAGCCGGUUGCUCAACAAUCGAGUUGCCAUUGAUACUGUCGGACUUGAGAGAAGUGGAGGUUCAUGGAAUGGAUGGUGUAGCGGUGAAAUGCAUAGAUAUCAUCCAGAACGUCGAUUGCGAAGGCAGUGGGCUGUACUUUAUCUGACACUGAGGCACGAAAGUGUGGGGAUCAAA
RNAcentral lists this ribosomal RNA (733 nucleotides) under uncultured bacterium. RNAcentral's name for it is "bacterial SSU rRNA". It matches the Rfam family "Bacterial small subunit ribosomal RNA", at positions 28 to 772 of the family's 1533-position model. The record is from RNAcentral.